Molecule: signal recognition particle RNA, 264 nt
Filed under: Clostridium sp.
Lineage: Bacteria; Bacillati; Bacillota; Clostridia; Eubacteriales; Clostridiaceae
Description: signal recognition particle sRNA large type
Rfam family: Bacterial large signal recognition particle RNA
About the family: The signal recognition particle (SRP) is a universally conserved ribonucleoprotein involved in the co-translational targeting of proteins to membranes. Archaeal SRP consists of a 7S RNA and homologues of the eukaryotic SRP19 and SRP54 proteins. In most bacteria, the SRP consists of a 4.5S RNA and the Ffh protein (a homologue of the eukaryotic SRP54 protein).
Source: RNAcentral
UCGUGCUAGACGGGGAGGUAGCGGUGCCCUGUACCUGCAAUCCGCUAUAGCAGGGUUGAAUUCCUUCUCAAGGCUUGUUUUUGUGAGGUCUGGCCUGUGUAAGUGGCAAUGAUGACUGGGUCCUACGCAACGUGACCCUAUGAACCCCGUCAGGUUCGGAAGAAAGCAGCGGUAAGUAGGCCCUUACGUGUGCCGUGGGGUUGCCUAGUCUGAGUUAACUGUACUGGUUCGCUUAUAAAAGCAAUGUCGAUAGAGGGUGCACGA